Picea glauca (white spruce) is the source of this 121-nucleotide non-coding RNA. NCBI's taxonomy places the organism in Eukaryota, Viridiplantae, Streptophyta, Pinopsida, Pinales, Pinaceae. The record is from Rfam.
ACAUGCUUACAACACAACAUUAAUGCAACGAAUCCCAUUAGAAAUUUGCAGUUAAGCACACUUAGGAUAUAGUAGUACUGGGAUGGGUGACCACCUAAGAAGUCCUAGUUUUUUACAUGCC